Molecule: ribosomal RNA, 253 nt
Filed under: uncultured prokaryote
Description: partial 16S ribosomal RNA
Rfam family: Bacterial small subunit ribosomal RNA
Source: RNAcentral
AUACGUAGGGGGCAAGCGUUGUCCGGAAUCAUUGGGCGUAAAGCGCGCGUAGGCGGCCCGGUAAGUCCGCUGUAAAAGUCAGGGGCUCAACCCUUGAACGCCGGUGGAUACUGCCGGGCUAGAGUCCGGAAGAGGCGAGUGGAAUUCCUGGUGUAGCGGUGGAAUGCGCAGAUAUCAGGAGGAACACCGAUAGCGAAGGCAGCUCGCUGGGACGGUACUGACGCUGAGGCGCGAAAGCGUGGGGAGCGAACAG